AAAAUCCGUUGACUUUUAAAAUCGUGAGGGUUCAAGU
RNAcentral lists this transfer RNA (37 nucleotides) under Brassica napus (rape). RNAcentral describes it as "partial tRNA-Leu". The record is from RNAcentral. RNAcentral also lists the same sequence under 2 other names. Lineage: Eukaryota; Viridiplantae; Streptophyta; Magnoliopsida; Brassicales; Brassicaceae.